CACCCUCUAAUCCUCAUCUAAAUUCUACCAUCCACCAUUCAUUCUACAAACCUCCUCCUCCCUCUAACCAACCCACCCUUUUUUACCGCAAGGUAUUUUGCCGAAGCCGCGGUAAUCCUAGCUCCAAUCGCGUAUAUUUAAGUUGUAGCAGUUAAAAAGCUAGUAGUUGAAUUUCGGGAUUGGCACAUCGGUCGUGCCUUAAGGGGUAUGAACUGGUGUAGUCAAUUUCUCACCUUCUGGAGAGACCCGAUGCCCCUAAUUUGGUGUCUCGCGGAAACACGGCCUUUUCUUUGAAAAAAAUAGAGAGUUUAAAACAGGCAUUUUGCUUGAAAACCUUAGCCAGGAAUAAUAAAAUUGGGCGGCAUGAUUCUAUUUUGUUGGUUUCUAGGAUCGCCGUAAUGAUUAAUAGGGAUAGUUGGGGGCAUUAGUAUUCAAUUGUCAGAGGUGAAAUUCUUGGAUUUAUUGAAGACUAACUACUGCGAAAGCAUUUGCCAAGGAUGUUUUCAUUAAUCAAGAACGAAAGUUAGGGGAUCGAAGACGUUCA
This 544-nucleotide ribosomal RNA is filed under the name Entrophospora sp. RNAcentral describes it as "SSU rRNA". It matches the Rfam family "Eukaryotic small subunit ribosomal RNA", at positions 571 to 1010 of the family's 1831-position model. Lineage: Eukaryota; Fungi; Glomeromycota; Glomeromycetes; Entrophosporales; Entrophosporaceae. The record is from RNAcentral.